AACAUGGCUUCUUGUAGGUAUAAGAAGUCUGACCUGCCCAGUGACAUAAAUUUAACGGCCGCGGUAUACUGACCGUGCAAAGGUAGCAUAAUCAUUAGUCUCUUAAUAGGGGACUGGAAUGAAGGGUUUGACGAAAUACUGACUGUCUCAAUCUAAUAUAUUUUAAUUUGAUUUUUGAGUCAAAAAGCUUAAAUUUUAUUGAAGGACGAGAAGACCCUAUAGAGCUUUAUAAUUAAUACUUAAGGUUAUUUUUAUUUUAUUUCGCUCUUUAAGUAUUAAUUUUUUUGUUGGGGUGACAACAGAUAUAUAAAUAACUUUUUUAUUUAAGAUACAUUUAUUUAUGGUAAAUAGAUCCAAUACUAUUGAUUAUUAGAGUAAGUUACCUUAGGGAUAACAGCGUAAUCUUCUUUCGAGAGUUCNAUAUUUACAAGGAGGGUUGCGACCUCGAUGUUGGAUUAAGAUUAUAAUUAGGUGUAGCAGCUUAAUUUAUAGGUCUGUUCGACCUUUAAAUUCUUACAUG
Molecule: ribosomal RNA, 520 nt
Filed under: Hetaerina titia
Lineage: Eukaryota; Metazoa; Arthropoda; Insecta; Odonata; Calopterygidae
Description: partial 16S ribosomal RNA
Rfam family: Bacterial large subunit ribosomal RNA
Source: RNAcentral